Molecule: ribosomal RNA, 431 nt
Filed under: uncultured bacterium
Lineage: Bacteria
Description: partial 16S ribosomal RNA
Rfam family: Bacterial small subunit ribosomal RNA
Source: RNAcentral
CGAACGCUGGCGGCAUGCCUAACACAUGCAAGUCGAACGAGACCUUCGGGUCUAGUGGCGCACGGGUGCGUAACGCGUGGGAACCUGCCCUUAGGUUCGGAAUAACUCCCCGAAAGGGGUGCUAAUACCGGAUAAUGUCUUCGGACCAAAGAUUUAUCGCCUUUGGAUGGGCCCGCGUUGGAUUAGCUAGUUGGUAGGGUAAAAGCCUACCAAGGCGACGAUCCAUAGCUGGUCUGAGAGGAUGAUCAGCCACACUGGGACUGAGACACGGCCCAGACUCCUACGGGAGGCAGCAGUGGGGAAUAGUGGACAAUGGGCGAAGGGCUGAUCCAGCAAUGACGCGUGAGUGAUGAAGGCAUUAGGGUUGUAAAGCUCUUUUACCCGGGAUGAUAAUGACAGUACCGGGAGAAUAAGCUCCGGCUAACUCCGUG